RNAcentral lists this ribosomal RNA (305 nucleotides) under uncultured bacterium. RNAcentral describes it as "bacterial SSU rRNA". It matches the Rfam family "Bacterial small subunit ribosomal RNA", at positions 333 to 636 of the family's 1533-position model. The record is from RNAcentral.
CUUCGCCUACGGAGGCAGCAGUGAGGAAUAUUGGUCAAUGGUCGGGAGACUGAACCAGCCAAGCCGCGUGAGGGAGGAAGGUACAGAGUAUCGUAAACCUCUUUUGUCAGGGAACAAAGGCGGGGACGUGUCCCCGGAUGAGUGUACCUGAAGAAAAAGCAUCGGCUAACUCCGUGCCAGCAGCCGCGGUAAUACGGAAGGUCCGGGCGUUAUCCGGAUUUAUUGGGUUUAAAGGGAGCGUAGGCCGGGUUUUAAGCGUGCCGUGAAAUGUCGGGGCUCAACCUUGACACUGCGGCGCGAACUGG